GCUCAGAUUGAACGCUGGCGGCAGGCCUAACACAUGCAAGUCGAACGGUAACAGGAAACAGCUUGCUGUUUCGCUGACGAGUGGCGGACGGGUGAGUAAUGUCUGGGAAGCUGCCUGAUGGAGGGGGAUAACUACUGGAAACGGUAGCUAAUACCGCAUAACGUCGCAAGACCAAAGAGGGGGACCUUCGGGCCUCUUGCCAUCAGAUGUGCCCAGAUGGGAUUAGCUAGUAGGUGGGGUAACGGCUCACCUAGGCGACGAUCCCUAGCUGGUCUGAGAGGAUGACCAGCCACACUGGAACUGAGACACGGUCCAGACCCCUACGGGAGGCAGCAGUGGGGAAUAUUGCACAAUGGGCGCAAGCCUGAUGCAGCCAUGCCGCGUGUAUGAAGAAGGCCUUCGGGUUGUAAAGUACUUUCAGCGGGGAGGAAGGGAGUAAAGUUAAUACCUUUGCUCAUUGACGUUACCCGCAGAAGAAGCACCGGCUAACUCCGUGCCAGCAGCCGCGGUAAUACGGAGGGUGCAAGCGUUAAUCGGAAUUACUGGGCGUAAAGCGCACGCAGGCGGUUUGUUAAGUCAGAUGUGAAAUCCCCGGGCUCAACCUGGGAACUGCAUCUGAUACUGGCAAGCUUGAGUCUCGUAGAGGGGGGUAGAAUUCCAGGUGUAGCGGUGAAAUGCGUAGAGAUCUGGAGGAAUACCGGUGGCGAAGGCGGCCCCCUGGACGAAGACUGACGCUCAGGUGCGAAAGCGUGGGGAGCAAACAGGAUUAGAUACCCUGGUAGUCCACGCCGUAAACGAUGUCGACUUGGAGGUUGUGCCCUUGAGGCGUGGCUUCCGGAGCUAACGCGUUAAGUCGACCGCCUGGGGAGAACGGCCGCAAGGUUAAAACUCAAAUGAAUUGACGGGGGCCCGCACAAGCGGUGGAGCAUGUUUAAUUCGAUGCAACGCGAAGAACCUUACCUGGUCUUGACAUCCACGGAAGUUUUCAGAGAUGAGAAUGUGCCUUCGGGAACCGUGAGACAGGUGCUGCAUGGCUGUCGUCAGCUCGUGUUGUGAAAUGUUGGGUUAAGUCCCGCAACGAGUGCAACCCUUAUCCUUUGUUGCCAGCGGUCCGGCCGGGAACUCAAAGGAGACUGCCAGUGAUAAACUGGAGGAAGGUGGGGAUGACGUCAAGUCAUCAUGGCCCUUACGACCAGGGCUACACACGUGCUACAAUGGCGCAUACAAAGAGAAGCGACCUCGCGAGAGCAAGCGGACCUCAUAAAGUGCGUCGUAGUCCGGAUUGGAGUCUGCAACUCGACUCCAUGAAGUCGGAAUCGCUAGUAAUCGUGGAUCAGAAUGCCACGGUGAAUACGUUCCCGGGCCUUGUACACACCGCCCGUCACACCAUGGGAGUGGGUUGCAAAAGAAGUAGGUAGCUUAACCUUCGGGAGGGCGCUUACCACUUUGUGAUUCAUGACUGGGGUGAAGUCGUAACAAGGUAA
RNAcentral lists this ribosomal RNA (1484 nucleotides) under metagenome. Its description in RNAcentral is "bacterial SSU rRNA". It matches the Rfam family "Bacterial small subunit ribosomal RNA". The record is from RNAcentral.